This 120-nucleotide ribosomal RNA is filed under the name Pteropus alecto (black flying fox). The record is from RNAcentral. Lineage: Eukaryota; Metazoa; Chordata; Mammalia; Chiroptera; Pteropodidae.
GUCUAUGGCCAUGCUACCCUGAACAAGCCUGAUCUCGUCCGCUUCUCGGAAGCUAAGCAGGAUCAGGCCUGGUUAGUACUUGGAUGGGAGACCACCUAGAAAGACCAGGUGCUGUAGGCA